UUCUGUUCACUCCUGGUCAUGCAGCUGUAGCGGAGGGGCUGCUGGAUUUUGCUUUAUUUCUUUGUGCCUCAUAUUUUUUUUUUGUUUGAUUACAGGUUUACAUAGUUUUUUUUUUUUCCAAAUUUAUUUUAGCGGGGAGGAUGGUGGGUCCCCCAGCCCUCCUUUUUUUGUUGAUUUCAUCCAUUUCUUAAUCAGCCUGGUUUUCGGUUUGCUGUUUUGUUUAAUUUAAGUACCAUUUUUCCAGCCAAAUUGCAACACUGCCUUUUCUGCAUUUUGGGCAGCUUUGUAUGUUGCGGUGUACUGGACUGUGCCAUGCAGACUGUUCCUUAAAUUCAACGUGCGUGUCCCAGCAGCUGUGGGUCUGAAUCGGGAACAUCUUACAAGUUCCAUCUGCAGAUUUCUUCUCCUUCAGGUAAGUGACAUGGAAACUUAAAACAUCCACAAAUUUUUAACAUUUUUUUUUAAUUAAUUAAUUUUUUAACAUAUUUUCCACUGUCCAGCUGCAGCCAAGCUGAAUGGUGUAUUCCAGGUUCCGGGGUUUUCCAUGAUCUCCUGCCAGUUUGUGCUCGUCAGGGCAUCUACAGUCAGGAGCCACCAAUACGACAAAAGGGGCGUGUCCUGGGGCGUCAGAGUCCAAAUGGAUUUGGGGAGUGGGAGGUACAGAGGGCAGGGGAAGGUCCGCAUAAUUCCUUCCUGUUCAGGAGAGAAAGCCGGCCUACCUCAGGGGCCCGACUGCAGCCUGGUGCAGGUAGACCCCGGAAAGCUUCGCUAGAUCUGAUCACAUGAACAUGAAGAAAUAAAAAAGAAGCACUCUGCUCUCCGUUCCACCAAACAACCUGAAGAACCACCAGUCUUUAGUGACAUAAAGAGGUCCAGGCAUCCGGCCUGAUCUGCAGACAUACCACCAGCGUUUAGCCAGAUUUGUGCUAUACUUGUGACUGUGGGAACACCAGGGUAAAGCACUCAUAUUAAGCCAGGCCAGCUGUGGCCAGCCUGGCUUUGGCUGUAGAGUGGGGAAAAGGGGUUGUUUUAUGAAUAUUUGUUAUAUUUAAACACAGCAAGUACGUUCUCGACUGGAGAUGGUGUUUCAGUGAGUUUUCCAGGGUUUUCUCCUUCACAAGCCAACAAAGAUCCCAGUCUAAUAAUGACACUCUUGACCUCUGACCUCCGUCUCAGUCCUGCAGGAUUUAGUCAGGCAGAGCCACCACCCUCAAGUGUGAAGCCGGGUUCCGGUUCCUCACUCCAUCUUUGAAAUCUCAUAUUUUGUGGUCAUGAUUUCCUGCAAGUUAACAGCAGAAUACACAAUGAGUCCUGUACAGAAACAAAGGUCACUCAAAGGUCACUCGUCCUAUGACACUGCUACUGUUUCACUAAAUAAGAAUAUAAAAAUCUACGGCAUAAGGAGACCCACACAUUUGCAUGAACGACACCAAUCACGCCUGGCUCACUUUCUACAACGAAAUGAAUGCAAUGUGCACGUUACAUAUCAAAAGGUAAAAUGUCUGCUUACCUCAUCAGAGUCCAGGAGAAUGGGCAAUGCCCUGCAACAGAAGCAACACUCAUUUAACGCUCAUGUUACAUUUUGCACAUAACAAAAAGGCUUCAUGUUCAUAGCAAAAGAAAAAAGCUUCUUCCGAAAAACAUAAAAUAUUACAGAAUCUCUUCCAAGACCCUUGCCUGACAAGUUUUAAUACAAUUACUGGUUAGUCAAUUAGUAUCAUAAUCAAUUGUAGGGAUUUGUAAAACGGACAUUAUUGUCAAAUCAUUGUGGGCAGCACCUAUUACGAAGGGAUAUUAUUAACAGCAGCUGGAAUGGCACAGA
This is a long non-coding RNA of Anguilla rostrata (American eel), 1822 nucleotides long. RefSeq lists it as uncharacterized. The transcript has 2 exons. Lineage: Eukaryota; Metazoa; Chordata; Actinopteri; Anguilliformes; Anguillidae. The record is from RefSeq and is a predicted model, not a curated record.